UGCUCACUUCAGAACGUAAGCCUAAACUUGGAAUGAUGCAGAGAGGAUUGGGAUGGCCCCUGCGCAAGGAGGACCUACAGAUCUGGAAUGAGCUCCCUGUUUAA
Hyaena hyaena (striped hyena) is the source of this 104-nucleotide small nuclear RNA. The record is from RefSeq and is a predicted model, not a curated record. NCBI's taxonomy places the organism in Eukaryota, Metazoa, Chordata, Mammalia, Carnivora, Hyaenidae.